GCGGAUAUAGUACAAGGGUAGUGCCUUAGCCUUCCAAGCUAAUGAUGCGGGUUCGAGUCCCGCUAUCCGCU
This 71-nucleotide transfer RNA is filed under the name Nephroselmis astigmatica. RNAcentral describes it as "tRNA-Gly". It matches the Rfam family "tRNA". Rfam says of the family: Transfer RNA (tRNA) molecules are approximately 80 nucleotides in length. Lineage: Eukaryota; Viridiplantae; Chlorophyta; Nephroselmidophyceae; Nephroselmidales; Nephroselmidaceae. The record is from RNAcentral.